GAUGAAGAACGCAGCGAAAUGCGAUACGUAAUGUGAAUUGCAGAAUUCAGUGAAUCAUCGAGUCUUUGAACGCACAUUGCGCCCCCUGGUAUUCCGGGGGGCAUGCCUGUCCGAGCGUCAUUGCUGCCCUCAAGCACGGCUUGUGUGUUGGGCCUCCGUCCUCCUCCCGGGGGACGGGCCCGAAAGGCAGCGGCGGCACCGCGUCCGGUCCUCGAGCGUAUGGGGCUUCGUCACCCGCUCUUGUAGGCCCGGCCGGCGCUUGCCGACACAUCAAUCUUUUUUCCAGGUUGACCUCGGAUCAGGUAGGGAUACCCGCUGAACUUAAGCAUAUCCAAUAAGCGGAGGA
RNAcentral lists this unclassified non-coding RNA (346 nucleotides) under soil metagenome. RNAcentral's name for it is "partial contains 5.8S ribosomal RNA, internal transcribed spacer 2, and large subunit ribosomal RNA". The stretch from base 1 to 120 matches the Rfam family "5.8S ribosomal RNA", at positions 35 to 154 of the family's 154-position model. The record is from RNAcentral.